UGGAUCUUAGUGGCGAACGGGUGAGUAACGCGUAGGCAAUCUGCCUUCUAGAUGGGGACAACAUCCCGAAAGGGGUGCUAAUACCGAAUGUUGUACCGUUUCCGCAUGGAGAUGAUACUAAAGGUGGCCUCUGAAUAUGCUACCGCUAGAAGAUGAGCCUGCGUCUGAUUAGCUAGUUGGAGGGGUAACGGCCCACCAAGGCUUCGAUCAGUAGCCGGUCUGAGAGGAUGAACGGCCACACUGGGACUGAGACACGGCCCAGACUCCUACGGGAGGCAGCAGUGGGGAAUCUUCCGCAAUGGACGAAAGUCUGACGGAGCAACGCCGCGUGAGUGAAGAAGGUUUUCGGAUCGUAAAGCUCUUUCGUUAGGGACGAACGUGCUCUUUGUGAAUAAUGAGGAGUAAUGACGGUACCUAAAUAAGAAGCCACGGCUAACUACGUGCCAGCAGCCGCGGUAAUACGUA
This 465-nucleotide ribosomal RNA is filed under the name uncultured Anaeromusa sp. Its description in RNAcentral is "partial 16S ribosomal RNA". It matches the Rfam family "Bacterial small subunit ribosomal RNA", at positions 86 to 529 of the family's 1533-position model. The record is from RNAcentral. Lineage: Bacteria; Bacillati; Bacillota; Negativicutes; Selenomonadales; Sporomusaceae.